RNAcentral lists this transfer RNA (64 nucleotides) under Duplodicodrilus acinctus. RNAcentral describes it as "tRNA-Arg". Lineage: Eukaryota; Metazoa; Annelida; Clitellata; Crassiclitellata; Megascolecidae. The record is from RNAcentral.
AAACAAUAGCAUUUUAAAUGCGUAUCGGUUUCGACCCGGUAAGAGCGAUCACACGCAUUGUUUU